AUUGAACGCUGGCGGCAGGCCUAACACAUGCAAGUCGAAUGGUAACAGGAAACAGCUUGCUGUUUCGCUGACGAGUGGCGGACGGGUGAGUAAUGUCUGGGAAACUGCCUGAUGGAGGGGGAUAACUACGGGAAACGGUAGCUAAUACCGCAUAACGUCGCAAGACCAAAGAGGGGGACCUUCGGGCCUCUUGCCAUCAGAUGUGCCCAGAUGGUAUUAGCUAGUAGGUGGGGUAACGGCUCACCUAGGCGACGAUCCCUAGCUGGUCUGCGAGGAUGACCAGCCACACUGGAACUGAGACACGCUCCAGACUCCUACGGGAGGCAGCAGUGGGGAAUAUUGCACAAUGGGCGCAAGCCUGAUGCAGCCAUGCCGCGUGUAUGAAGAAGGCCUUCGGGUUGUAAAGUACUUUCAGCGGGGAGGAAGGGAGUAAAGUUAAUACCUUUGCUCAUUGACGUUACCCGCAGAAGAAGCACCGGCUAACUCCGUG
RNAcentral lists this ribosomal RNA (490 nucleotides) under uncultured bacterium. RNAcentral's name for it is "partial 16S ribosomal RNA". It matches the Rfam family "Bacterial small subunit ribosomal RNA", at positions 30 to 507 of the family's 1533-position model. The record is from RNAcentral.